GACGAACGCUGGCGGCGUGCUUAACACAUGCAAGUCGAACGGAAAGGCCCUGCUUUUGUGGGGUGCUCGAGUGGCGAACGGGUGAGUAACACGUGAGUAACCUGCCCUUGACUUUGGGAUAACUUCAGGAAACUGGGGCUAAUACCGGAUAGGAGGUCCUGCUGCAUGGUGGGGGUUGGAAAGUUUCGGCGGUUGGGGAUGGACUCGCGGCUUAUCAGCUUGUUGGUGGGGUAGUGGCUUACCAAGGCUUUGACGGGUAGCCGGCCUGAGAGGGUGACCGGCCACAUUGGGACUGAGAUACGGCCCAGACUCCUACGGGAGGCAGCAGUGGGGAAUAUUGCACAAUGGGCGGGAGCCUGAUGCAGCAACGCCGCGUGCGGGAUGACGGCCUUCGGGUUGUAAACCGCUUUCGCCUGUGACGAAGCGUGAGUGACGGUAAUGGGUAAAGAAGCACCGGCUAACUACGUG
This 468-nucleotide ribosomal RNA is filed under the name uncultured bacterium. RNAcentral's name for it is "partial 16S ribosomal RNA". It matches the Rfam family "Bacterial small subunit ribosomal RNA", at positions 28 to 507 of the family's 1533-position model. The record is from RNAcentral.